This 468-nucleotide ribosomal RNA is filed under the name uncultured bacterium. Its description in RNAcentral is "partial 16S ribosomal RNA". It matches the Rfam family "Bacterial small subunit ribosomal RNA", at positions 28 to 507 of the family's 1533-position model. The record is from RNAcentral.
GACGAACGCUGGCGGCGGGCUUAACACAUGCAAGUCGAACGGAAAGGCCCUGCUUUUGUGGGGUGCUCGAGUGGCGAACGGGUGAGUAACACGUGAGUAACCUGCCCUUGACUUUGGGAUAACUUCAGGAAAUUGGGGCUAAUACCGGAUAGGAGCUCCUGCUGCAUGGUGGGGGUUGGAAAGUUUCGGCGGUUGGGGAUGGACUCGCGGCUUAUCAGCUUGUUGGUGGGGUAGUGGCUUACCAAGGCUUUGACGGGUAGCCGGCCUGAGAGGGUGACCGGCCACCUUGGGACUGAGAUACGGCCCAGACUCCUACGGGAGGCAGAAGUGGGGAAUAUGGCACAAUGGGCGGAAGCCUGAUGCAGCAACGCCGCGUGCGGGAUGACGGCCUUCGGGUUGUAAACCGCUUUCGCCUGUGACGAAGCGUGAGUGACGGUAAUGGGUAAAGAAGCACCGGCUAACUACGUG